AUUGAACGCUGGCGGCAGGCCUAACACAUGCAAGUCGAAUGGUAACAGGAAACAGCUUGCUGUUUCGCUGACGAGUGGCGGACGGGUGAGUAAUGUCUGGGAAACUGCCUGAUGGAGGGGGAUAACUACUGGAAACGGUAGCUAAUACCGCAUAACGUCGCAAGACCAAAGAGGGGGACCUUCGGGCCUCUUGCCAUCAGAUGUGCCCAGAUGGGAUUAGCUAGUAGGUGGGGUAACGGCUCACCUAGGCGACGAUCCCUAGCUGGUCUGAGAGGAUGACCAGCCACACUGGAACUGAGACAUGGUCCAGACUCCUACGGGAGGCAGCAGUGGGGAAUAUUGCACAAUGGGCGCAAGCCUGAUGCAGCCAUGCCGCGUGUAUGAAGAAGGCCUUCGGGUUGUAAAGUACUUUCAGCGGGGAGGAAGGGAGUAAAGUUAAUACCUUUGCUCAUUGACGUUACCCGCAGAAGAAGCACCGGCUAACUCCGUG
This 490-nucleotide ribosomal RNA is filed under the name uncultured bacterium. RNAcentral describes it as "partial 16S ribosomal RNA". It matches the Rfam family "Bacterial small subunit ribosomal RNA", at positions 30 to 507 of the family's 1533-position model. The record is from RNAcentral.